Molecule: transfer RNA, 70 nt
Filed under: Tylerius spinosissimus (spiny blaasop)
Lineage: Eukaryota; Metazoa; Chordata; Actinopteri; Tetraodontiformes; Tetraodontidae
Description: tRNA-Arg
Rfam family: tRNA
About the family: Transfer RNA (tRNA) molecules are approximately 80 nucleotides in length.
Source: RNAcentral
AGGUAAUUAGUUUAAUUUAAACAUUUGAUUUCGGCUCAAAAAUUUAUGGUUAAAGUCCAUAAUUAACCUG